Molecule: ribosomal RNA, 252 nt
Filed under: uncultured Bacteroidales bacterium
Lineage: Bacteria; Pseudomonadati; Bacteroidota; Bacteroidia; Bacteroidales
Description: partial 16S ribosomal RNA
Rfam family: Bacterial small subunit ribosomal RNA
Source: RNAcentral
UACGGAGGAUGCGAGCGUUAUCCGGAUUUAUUGGGUUUAAAGGGUGCGUAGGCGGAUCGUUAAGUCAGUGGUCAAAUUGAGGGGCUCAACCCCGGCCUGCCGUCGGAACUGGGUGCCUUGAGUGGGCGAGAAGUACGCGGAAUGCGUGGUGUAGCGGUGAAAUGCAUAGAUAUCACGCAGAACUCCGAUUGCGAAGGCAGCAUACCGGCGCCCAACUGACGCUGAGGCACGAAAGCGUGGGUAUCGAACAGG